UAAUUGGAGUUAUCCUGCGAUGCAUGCUUAACUUCUCCGUAUUCUCUUGUCUUUGUGGUGAUGUGGAGGGACCCACUGACCAGAAGAUACAUCAUUGCCUGAACACUGGCAGGAAAGGAAGAGCUGCCAAGUACCAACCAGAAUCUAAACGGAGAUUGUUGAAGGAUGGAAGAAGAAAUUAGAUAUAGGCUGUCAGUGCACAUAUUUUUUGCAUUAAAUUAUAAACAAUAUGCUGUUAAUAUUUAAAUCACGGAGGAAUACCAGAAGAGAAAAUAUGUGUCCUUGUUUUUCUAUCAUUUCACUUUCUCCUCACCAUGUCAAUAUCAAAAGUAUACUGUGUCUUUGUACUCCAUGUCAUCAGGCAUAUGCCUAUCUGCAAGUACACAACACUGCAGAGAUGUUAAAGGCAAAUAAGAAGCAUUCAGAAAACUUCAUGAACAUCAAAUGUCAAUUGCAACACAAGAUUUUGAUACAACUCUUGAUUUGACUGGAUUACUUCCCAACCCUCAGUAAUGCUCCAUUGUGGGAGCCUGUGUCUCAACAGUUCACACCUGCCGUUUACUCCACUGGGUUGUGAAGAUUCACAGAAGAUGACAGGAAGGGGGGAUAAAUAAGCUAAAAUAAACUUUAGAGGAUGGCCCCA
Homo sapiens (human) is the source of this 643-nucleotide long non-coding RNA. Lineage: Eukaryota; Metazoa; Chordata; Mammalia; Primates; Hominidae. The record is from Ensembl.